This is a long non-coding RNA of Etheostoma cragini (Arkansas darter), 147 nucleotides long. RefSeq lists it as uncharacterized. The record is from RefSeq and is a predicted model, not a curated record. The transcript has 2 exons. NCBI's taxonomy places the organism in Eukaryota, Metazoa, Chordata, Actinopteri, Perciformes, Percidae.
GUAUUGUUCCUUUUCCUAGAAGGUCCUCUUUUACUGUAUGUACUACUAUGGUCAUGCGAUUGAAAGAACCUCUACAGCUGAGUGUGUUUCCUAGAGGGGAAUCAGCUUUGAGUGAUCUAUUUGCAUAACUUCAGUUAGCUGUUUCUC